RNAcentral lists this ribosomal RNA (110 nucleotides) under Prunus dulcis (almond). The record is from RNAcentral. Lineage: Eukaryota; Viridiplantae; Streptophyta; Magnoliopsida; Rosales; Rosaceae.
UUGAGAGCUCACUGGCUUCGGAGUCAUAAGAACUCCGAAGUUAAGCGAGUUGAGGCCAGAGUAAUCCUAGGAUGGGUGACCCACUGGGAAGUUGCUCGUGAGUUCCUAAA